This 323-nucleotide ribosomal RNA is filed under the name Diderma umbilicatum. RNAcentral's name for it is "bacterial SSU rRNA". It matches the Rfam family "Eukaryotic small subunit ribosomal RNA", at positions 80 to 350 of the family's 1831-position model. Lineage: Eukaryota; Evosea; Eumycetozoa; Physariida; Didymiaceae. The record is from RNAcentral.
UCUGAAUCUGCGAACGGCUCCGCAAACCAGUUGUAAACCAAAGCAAGCAAACCCGUGGUCUGCCUUUCAUUAGGUGGGCUGCGGGUGAUACGGAUAACCCUGGUAAUUCUGAGGCUAAUACGAGACUGUAGUCCCUGGCUAACCGGGAAACUGGAAGGCUGGCGGGCGUGUAUCUAUUUGCAAGACGGAUCCAGGAAGGGGUGCACGCUCUGACCGCGACAAAGACAGUUCCGACAAACCCUCGGGUGCGUUGGUUCUGAGCGGCUCUUGCGCUGUGCUUCUGACCUAUCAACUAGAUGGCAGCGUAACGGACAUGCCAUGGU